RNAcentral lists this long non-coding RNA (3607 nucleotides) under Mytilus galloprovincialis (Mediterranean mussel). Lineage: Eukaryota; Metazoa; Mollusca; Bivalvia; Mytilida; Mytilidae. The record is from RNAcentral.
UGCGCAUUAACGAGCACCUUGUACUUCCUUUACUUCCGGUCCGGCGAAAACAUUGAAAUGGUAUUUACUCGAUAUAAUUUAGCCAUGUAUGCCUACUUCUGUAGAAUGCAUACAUAUCUAACGUUUGACAAAAUGUACAAAAUAGACAAACAAACAUAUUUUACAUGUGCAUCGUCUAAAUGUGUUAAAUUUACGAGUCUGCUGUUGAAGUUUUUGUUAAAAUUUGACACGUGUCAAACUCACUAUUGCUAAUAUUAAUUUAUAGCUCAAUAGAUAUAAGAAGAUGUGGUAUGAGUGCUGAUGAGACAUCUCGUCAUCCAAGUCACAAUUUGUAAAAUAAAUACCAUUAUGUACAGAAAUUAACAAGGUUUCCUGUCAUAUUCAUAAAUAGCAAAUGUGUAGAAAAAAUGUUUAAACUGAUAAAACAAAGUUUAAUAUGAAAGGUUUUUAUUCUUUGAAGAAAUUGUUCCCAAAUAGUUAUACAUCUGUCUGGUAUAAUCAUAAUUAUUUGGUUAAAACAUUUCCAAGAAUUUUGUAAUAUUCAUGAAUUUGCACAUGUUUAUCUAUAUAGAUAUAGGAAGAUGUGGUGUGAGUGCCAAUGAAACAACUCUCCAUCAAAAUAACAAUUUUUAGAAGUAAACCAUUAUAGGUCAAUGUACGGCCUUUAACACAGAGCCUUGACUCACACCAAACAACAAGCUAUAAAGGGCCCCAAAUUACUACCAGCCGGCUCGUUGUUCCUAGGAACUAAAAGUAUGACGUCACUCACCGGGUUUCGGCUGUCUACACUUAGGAUUUAAAAUGAGCAGACGCUCAUACUUUGGCUGGCGAAUAUGGACCCUUUAUUUAUACAAGUAGCUGUAGACUUGCCACCACCUUAUAUUUAUUUAUGUGAACUUAUGUUCAACCAUAUAUAUAUGUCUUUUUAAUAAACAUCUUUAUAUUUACAUGUUUUACAUAGUUUGUCCAAUAUCCCAAAACUUGGGUAGACAAAACGGGAAAACGAAGCCAGUGGAAACUCCACUCCUGUUACAAUAACUUGAAACUAACCUGAAAUUAUUGUCAAUAUUAUUGAUAAUCAUAUUAAACUGGAUUGAAAUUUGAUCAGUAGGCAUGCAUGUGUUGUGUUCAGCUAAAGACGACAAGAUUACUCUUAAAAUAAGAACUCAAAGCAAAUUUUCUUAUGCUACAUGUUAAUUUUAUUAUCUCUUUUUCAGGAGUUAACAUUGGAUUCCAUGAGUCGUUAUGUUAGUCCAAUUAAUCCUGCAGUAUUCCCUCACCUGACGGUGGUUCUUCUAGGAAUUGGAAUUUUCUUCAUGGCAUGGUUUUUUGUGUAUCCUUGCAUAUUUUAGUGUUAUAAUUAGAUUUAUACAAAGAAACAUCAAUCUGUUCUACUUCAUACAGAAUAUUUAGAUAAUUUACACAGUCCUACCCCAUAUGAAAACAAGUCAUUUUAGUUUUGACUGAUAGAAGUCAAAUUAUCUUUGUUUCAUGAGUUAUUUCCCUGUAGGAAUGUCACUAUAAUUUGACUACAUGCAAAUCAAUGAGUAACAUGCAAACAUUAGAAGCACUAAGAUUUUGAUAAAAUAUAUCUUCUGAAAAGGUUGAGCACCAAAUCUGCUUUAAUCAUAAUGUUUAAGUUAUAUAUUUAAUAAAGAUCAAUGCAGAUGACAAUUUAAAAAAAAAAAAAAGAAGAAAACUUGUGAAUUCAUUAUUAAUUUUCAAGAAUUAAUUUUCCUAAAUUCAGUUAGUAUAGCCCAACUAAGAUUUUUAUGCAUUGUCCGAUCUGUAAAAAUAAUGAAAACAAUUAUCCAUACAAUAAGAUAUCAUUUAUCAUCUCAAAUAGAAUAUUUUCAUAUAAUCAACUUUUGACUUCAGAUUUUAUUAUUUUUCGACAGGUACAAUGUAACCUAUUCUGUGGCAAGAAAUCGUAGUUCUAGGUCAAGUAAGAGCAACCAAAAGAAGUAUAAACAAACAUAUAAUCAGUGCAACCUUUGGGGAAAGUUUUCUGUUUUCUAUAAAAGAAAACAUAAAUCAGUACAUUCACCCCUGAAUAGUAAAGAUUGUAAGCUUGAUUUUACUUCUUUAAGUUGCCUCUACUUGACAGAGUACCACGAUGUCCUACUACAGAGAAGGAAACCUGUUGGAAGAAAAAGAUAAUCUCUGGAGUCAGAAGGCAGUAAUAUGAAAAUAGUCUCUUGGUACACAGGAAAAUAAAUGAACCAACAGUUAUCCAGUGUCUGAUGUUUCAAAAAUUUAAGGGGAGAUCAUUUAAACACGGUCCUUUUUAAAUCUUUUAAACAAUAAAGCUAUUCAGUAGUGUAAUUAAAUUUAAGUGGAAAAAAAGAAUUACAACUUAGAAAUUUACAGAAUUUUUAAAGGAAUGGAUUUUUUUUUUUUUUAUAGAGAAAUGUUCAUGUAGCUAGCUUUAUGCACUGAAAUGAAUUAUUAGAGAAUUGUCCAGCAUUUCAAAAAAAAUCAUCUUAGACAUCAUUGAUCAUACAUGAUUUAUUUCCUUGACCACAAUACAGAUAUGAAGUGACCAGUAAUAAAUUUACUCGUGAUCUGUCUAAAGAACUACUUGUAUCAUUAGUAGCCUCAGUAUUCAUGGGAUUUGGAGUAGUAUUCCUACUGUUAUGGGUUGGAAUUUUCAUAUAGAUAUAGGUAAGGUUUAUUUAACUUUUAGAGAUUUUUUUAUCAUUCAAAGGAAGUUGCACAGCGCACAAGGUAGAAUUUUUUUAUCUGAGACAUUUUUUCCUAAAAAGAAUUAUGUUAACUAUUCCAAAACUGACUGAAAAAAAAAUCAUUACACAAUACUUCAACAAAAUAAACACAAAAUAAUUAAACUAACAAAUCAAAAGAGGGAUUCUUUGCUGGAAUUACAGUAAAAAAAAUCACACAUGUUUAUUUUAUUGAAAAUAUUAAAUAGAUUUUUAGUAUACAUAAAAUGAGACAGCAAACAUGUGAUAAAAAUGCAUAGAAAAUAGCUCAUGUUAAUAAGUUUAAUGCAGAAUACAGACCUCUAAAUUAACAAAGACAACUGAAGAUAUGCCUUCAACAGCAACUUUUCUAACAGACCAAAAACAUUUUAGAGAUAACUUAAGUCAAUUAUUGAGAAUGUUCAUUAUCGCUAUUUUGUGCAUUUUUCCUUUGAUCUUUUUUUGUGAUAAUUUUUCAUAUCAUGCUACUCGCUUGAGCUGGAAAAUUAUCGCUAGAAACUAAGAAGGCACGUGGCGUUGCUAAUGAAAUUGACAUGAAAUUGACAACGUCGUCAUAGGUAAAAUAGCGAUCAACAGAUUAUCAUUGGUCAUCUCAACUCAAUUUCCUUUCUCGCAUUCGCCGUCCCGGCUCAAGCGAGAAAAUCAAAACGAUAAUCUAUUAUUAUUGCAGACAGACACAUGAACAUACACGUAUGGUGGUAUUUUACUGGUUUUUAUAUACAUUAAAAAAAAUGAUUUAGUUGUUUCCUUUAAAUAUUCUAUUUUGUUGUUUUUUUUCAGAUUUCAAAAGCAUUUAAUUCAAAGAAGUAUGGAUGGGUAGAGUGCAAGUGGACUAGAUAUUUGUUUUGUUAUUGUCUAAAUAAAUAUAUUAAAAAGACUUCUAAAAG